UGGCGGCGUGCCUAACACAUGCAAGUCGAACGAGAAAGUGGAGCAAUCCAUGAGUAAAGUGGCGACCGGGUGAGUAACACGUGACUAACCUGCCUUCGAGUGGGGGAUAACCUCGGGAAACCGGGGCUAAUACCGCAUAAUGCCUUCGGGUUAAAGGAGCAAUUCGCUUGAAGAGGGGGUCGCGGCUGAUUAGCUAGUUGGCGGGGUAACGGCCCACCAAGGCGAUGAUCGGUAGCCGGCCUGAGAGGGCGCACGGCCACACUGGAACUGAAACACGGUCCAGACUCCUACGGGAGGCAGCAGUGGGGAAUUUUGCGCAAUGGGGGAAACCCUGACGCAGCAACGCCGCGUGGAGGAUGAAGUCCUUUGGGACGUAAACUCCUUUCGACCGGGACGAUUAUGACGGUACCGGUGGAAGAAGCCCCGGCUAACUUCGUGCCAGCAGCCGCGGUAAUACGAGGGGGGCGAGCGUUGUUCGGAAUUAUUGGGCGUAAAGGGCGCGUAAGCGGUGCGGUAAG
RNAcentral lists this ribosomal RNA (518 nucleotides) under uncultured Acidobacteriota bacterium. RNAcentral describes it as "bacterial SSU rRNA". It matches the Rfam family "Bacterial small subunit ribosomal RNA", at positions 37 to 587 of the family's 1533-position model. Lineage: Bacteria; Pseudomonadati; Acidobacteriota. The record is from RNAcentral.